This 490-nucleotide ribosomal RNA is filed under the name uncultured bacterium. RNAcentral's name for it is "partial 16S ribosomal RNA". It matches the Rfam family "Bacterial small subunit ribosomal RNA", at positions 28 to 507 of the family's 1533-position model. The record is from RNAcentral.
GAUGAACGCUAGCUACAGGCUUAACACAUGCAAGUCGCGGGGCAGCAUGGGGGUUGCUUGCAAUCCCCGAUGGCGACCGGCGCACGGGUGAGUAACGCGUAUCCAACCUGCCCUUCACCACGGGAUAACCCGGCGAAAGUCGGACUAAUACCGUAUGUUGUCCAUUGACGGCAUCCGAUUUGGACGAAAGGCUGGGCGGUGAGGGAGGGGGAUGCGUCCGAUUAGCCAGACGGCGGGGUAACGGCCCACCGUGGCUACGAUCGGUAGGGGUUCUGAGAGGAAGGUCCCCCACACUGGAACUGAGACACGGUCCAGACUCCUACGGGAGGCAGCAGUGAGGAAUAUUGGUCAAUGGGCGUAAGCCUGAACCAGCCAAGUAGCGUGCAGGAUGACGGCCCUAUGGGUUGUAAACUGCUUUUAUGCGGGGAUAAAGUGGCCCACGUGUGGGCUUUUGCAGGUACCGCAUGAAUAAGGACCGGCUAAUUCCGUG